GAGGGGGUCAGGGUGUUCCUGGAACACACUUCUCUCCUCCCUCGUUCUGUCCUUCUUUCCCUCACUCCCAUCUUCACUGCAGCCUACUUUAAUAGGAGACUGCUGUUUCAUUUUUUCCUGCACUUUUCUGAUCAAAGCCAAUAUAAGAAACCAUUACCAGGAAGAGACAGGAGUGUCUCUCUCUCUCUCUCUCUCUGUAGGACACACUGUAGCAGUCUAGGACACCAUGGGCAGUGAACAGAGACCAACAAUAACUACCCACAAUAACUACCUUAUUGUCAUUUUUGGAAAAAUAUGUGAAUGUCACCGAUCCAGAAAAUAUGCUAAGCGCAAUGACAAACAGGUGUAGCUAAAGAGCAUCAGGUUGCUACACAUCAAUGUCACCAACUUGGCCUGCUGAAGGCUCUAUGGCUCAAAUGCCCCUGCUGCAUGUUCUUCAGUCUGUUUAUCAAGUCUGCCAGUCAAAUGUACUCUGAUCUCUUUACUUAAGAAACCAGGACAGAUAAGUGGUUGUUGGAGCAAUAGUGGGCCUUUAACUAGCAACGGUGCGUAGAGAGACGAAUGCAUGCAAUUAUAGAUAUCUUCCCUGGCUUGGUCUGCCUCAGAGUCACACUCACAUUAACCAUCCUCAAACACUUUGUCUGCAUUUCCAUGUGGCUCUUUCCUGCAAGUAGAUUUUUACAAAUGGUUUGUUUCAAUAUGUAACAUGCAUUUUCUUAAACUAAUCUGUAAGUGUUUUGGUUUAUGGCAACCAUUACUGAGGAGGCUGUUUCAGAUUACAUGAUGUAGGUAGUCUCAAGCAACAUUACGCUCUGCGCUGCUCUGACAUAGAUUCUGAAUGUAAGUUGUAGGUGAUGUAAAAGUUCUGGACAUCCUCCCUCUUAAAUGGAUACCACUAGAGAUUGGAUGUCACAUUGCAAGACACCAUAAUAUGACACAUUAGGAAAUAUGCAAAUGAGACUUUACACCCUUAUACCUCAAAUGGAACCAUAUAAACCCCAAAAUAGUGUUGUUUGACGACAUAGGAGUUGAAUUAACUCUUGCGAUUGUAUUGAGCGUAAACGUUACUCUAAAUAAUUAACUCUAGAAUACUGAACAACACUAUUUUGAAUUAAUACUGUACAGAGUGAAACCCAAUGAAGCAGAGUUAAAUAUCAACCCUAAAUUGAGCUUACACAACUCUGAAAAAAUAACUCUAUUGCCAGAGUACGUUUUACAUAAUUUUCUGGUCAAAUCCCAAAACCCUGAGUCUACUUAGGAAAUAGAGGCGUUGUUGAACUCUGCAGAAGACACGGUCUACUUGGACCUUCCAGUUCAGUACAUUGUCCUAGUGUGCACCCAGCUACUUGUACGAACUAAGCUGUGCUGUGUUAGCAUUCUGAACAACCACAGGCACGUGGUUGCCAACAGAUUUGGGGUCAAACACCAUCUCCUCUGUUUUCUUUACAUUGAGGAUAAGAUGGUGCUCAUCACACCACUUGACAAACCUUUGAAUUUCUGACCUGUACACGGUAGUAUCAGCAUCUUUAUACAUCACACCAAGGACGGCCGUAUCCUCAGAAAACUUGACAAUAUAGUCAUUAGGAUUACUGCUGGUGUAUUCAUGUGUGUACAUGAUGAAUAAGAUGGGUGCACUCCCACAACCCUGCGGGCCCCUGUGCUAAUGUCUCUAGCCUCAGAGAGGGUUCUGUUAACACUAACCUGCUGAGUAUUGCUCGUCAGGAAUGAGCGCUACCACCUUAUGAUACAGGAGUUAACACUCGUCUGCUUUAAAACUGACUGAGUAGGACAUGUGGCUGUGUUGUGUUAAACGCUGAAAAUAAAUAACAGGCCUCGGGUUUUCCAGAUGCUUAACAAUGAGAUGCACUAUGGUGUUGAUUGCAUCAUCUUGUCUCACAACUUUUCUUAUAGGCAAAUUACUAAGGAUCUAACACAGGGUUCACAUCUGAAUGGAGCUCGCACACCAUGAUCUUUUUAUUCUUACAGGUGUGCUUGAAGACUCAAAUGACAACUACAGGGUUGAUUUCCAACCUAGGAACACAAUAAUCAAUAACAAUGGAGCCAAUCACAUUAUCACACUCAACAGAGAAGUCAUGUACAUCAAAUCUUGUAUAAAAAAAAACUUUUAAUUCCUUGGCUUUGGUCAGGUCAUCUGGUGUGUGCAAGGAUUUAUUUUGCAGGGUUCAUGUUGCUGAUUGUUCGCAUCGACUCCCACCAUUUUUUGGAGUUCUUUGUAAGGAACUAUUUGUUCCCACUGCUUCCGUGUGUUGUUUCCUUGUCUCUCUGAGCAUUUGGUUGAGCUCCUUUUGCACCCAUUUCAGUUGUUGUUUGUCCUUGUUUUUGAAUGGUUGCCUCUUGCUUCUUGCCUCUUGCAAUUGAUCCAUGUCCUUGACCUCAUUUGUGAUGUAGUGUGUGUUGUUUGGGUAUGACUUUUUGUCUUCUGGCAUAUCAGAGUCAACACAGAAAUGUAUGUAGUUUGUGACAACCUGUGCUGACUUGUGCAUGUCUAACUCGUGAAAAAUGUCCCAAUCUGGACACAGAACAUCCCUUAAGUGAUUCUAUACUGUCCUGCUUCCAGACAUUCACAGAUUUCACAAGGGGUUUACUGCUCCUGAGCUGUAGGUAGGUGGGAAUGAGCUGGACAGUGUUGUGAUCAAGCUAGACAGGGAUGGUUUGGCUCUAGCUGUGUAAAGGAGAUUGAGGAUGUACUGAGAGCUCCAACUGAACAGAGAACCUAGCCGACAAGAAAAGGACGGCUAUGGAAGGAAAAAUACAUUUUCUAUUCAUAGAAAGGUGGUAAUUAAAAAAGGCCUGACUGAGACUGAAAAGUGAGUUGGUUAGGACGAAAACAAGUCAGCAAGGGUGAUGUUCUCCCUCUGUGGAAAGGGUUCUACAUGGAUCCUAAAAGGGUUCUACCUGGAACCAAAAAGGGUUCUUCAAAGCGUUCUCCUAUCUGGACAGCCGAAUAACCUUUUUAGGUUCUACAGUACAUAGUGUAUGUUCACAUAAAUUGCAGCCAAGACUGGAAUUUUCACUUAAUUUCCGUGGCCAUACUUCUUUUCAUAGAUAGAUUGCAUGUCUGCUCAUUUAAUUCUCAAGCCACCAACAUAAUAUUUGAUAGACAUCGUUUACCAACUGGGGUCAUUUUGACCCCAAGAAGAAACUAUUGGAAAAAGCAUCAAUCACAGCAAAAUAUCAACUUAUGUUUUAUCAAAACAUCAUAAAACAUUUGCUACAUGUUAUCUGAAGUAAAAGAUGACCAGAAUAGACUGUUAUUUUAGCAAAAUUACUGUUAAUCAGCAUAUUCUGUCAAACAUAUGUAUGCAUUUUUUUUAAAUAAAAUUUGCAGCUUUUUCCAAAGUACAAUCCACAUUAGCACUAAAAAAGCAAAUUUACCGUAAUUUAAUUAUAGUUACAUUUAGUUUUCAGAAUUUUUAAGUAAAUAUCAAUUGUGUCAUAUUCAUGUAGUCAAAAUUAUCAUAUUUUCGAGGGGCAGUACAGCAACAUUUUAAAUACAUUUUAUUGACAAAAAGUAUUCAAUUAAUUUCAAAAAGUGAUUCUGAGAGACAAUGACCAAACUAUUGCAAAAAGAAUGCCCACAUCUAAGUCACUACAAACCAAAGUAUAUAGCACCAAACAUAUACGUCCAAGUUGCACAUAUAAAAUAUUGGAGGAUAUUAUAGCAAUUCUGGUAUUAAUAUCAUAUUUUCAGUAGAAUAAGUAUUUUUUGGAGAAUACACACCAAUACAACACUGUGUGUACAUUUAGAGGGUAGCUGGUUUUUGUAUUAUUAUUUUAUCAAGUAUUCAUAGCACUGACAUACUUUUAUCAGCUGUUUUGACAACUACUAAGCAUGUAUGUGGUCUUACCUAGUUAUAACCAUUUAUAACCAUAGGCCCUAAAAUAACUACAAUUUCGGGGAAUACACACCAAUACAUCUCUCUAUGUGGAUUCAGAGCCUAUCUGAGUUCUGUAUUUCAGUUCUAUCAAGUAUUGAUAACCUUACCAGACCUUGUAUACCUUUGGCAAAUUUUAUGUAUAAAAAAAUACGGUUAUUUUGGUUUUGUAUACAGUCAUAUGAUGCGUGGUAUAGAAAAGUUACAUCUUAGAGUACAUGGGGAGCUCUGCAGAUGAUCUGUCUAUCUGGUCGAAAUCACUGAUACAGGUCCCCCUCCACCCUCUGGUGGUGUGGUUACCAGGUCCCCCUCCACCCUCUGGUGGUGUGGUUACCAGGUCCCCCUCCACCCUCUGGUGGUGUGGUUAACAGGUCCCCCUCCACCCUCUGGUGGUGUGGUUAACAGGUCCCCCUCCACCCUCUGGUGGUGUGGUUAACAGGUCCCCCUCCACCCUCUGUUGGUGUGGUUAACAGGUCCCCCUCCACCCUCUGGUGGUGUGGUUAACAGGUCCCCCUCCACCCCCUGGUGGUGUGGUUAACAGGUCCCCCUCCACCCUCUGGUGGUGUGGUUAACAAGUUCCCCUCCACCCUCUGGUGGUGUGGUUAACAGGUCCCCCUCCACCCUCUGGUGGGUAACUUGUUAUGUCUCCAGAGAAUCCUGGAUUCAAAUAAAGGUCCUAUUUAUCCAAUUAAUAUAGGCAGAAGUAUAUGAGGUCAAAAUUAUCCCAAAUUACUUACAUUUUUAAAUAGUCCAUAUUCAUAGAGAAACACUAAACAAUUAUUUAGAUUUGUUAAGAACAAGUUGAUUGACAAAGUCAUAAAACAUUUUAAAAAUUUAAUAAACAAACUUUGGGCUGUAAUAACAAAAAUAUGCCCCUGGGGUCAAAAUGUGUCACGUUCUGACCUUAGUUCUGUUAUUAUAUAUUUGUUUUAGUAUGGUCAGGGCGUGAGUUGGGUGGCUUGUCUAUGUUCGUUUUUCUAUAAUUUGGGAUUUCUGUGUUCGGCCUAGUAUGGUUCUCAAUCAGAGGCAGCUGUAAAUCGUUGUGUCUGAUUGAGAAUCAUACUUAGGUAGCCUGGGUUUCACUUUUGAGUUGUGGGUGUUUAUUUUCCGUGUUUGUGCCACACGGGACUGGUUUGUUUGUUUCACGUUGUUUGUUUUGUAUUUUGUAGUGUUCAGUUUUCUUAUUAAAUUAUGGACACUUGCCACCCUUCAAAUUGGUCCGAUCUAUCUUACUCCUCAUCAGAGGAAGACGACGAACAUUACAGAAACACCCAACACAAAAGGACCAAGCAGCGUGGUAACGGGCAGCAGCAGCAUCGAUCGCAGGACUCCUAGACUUGGGAGGAGAUUCUGGACGGCAAGGGACCAUGGGCACAAGCUGGAGAAUAUCGCCGCCCCAAGGUUGAGCUGGAGGCAGCGAAAGCCGAGAGGCGGUGGUAUGAGGAGGCAGCACGGCGGCGCGGCUGGAAGCCCGAGAGGCAGCCCCAAACAUUUCUUGGGGGGGAAGCACACGGGGAGUGUGGCGAAGGCAGGUAGGAGACCUGAGCCAACUUCCCGUGCUUACCGGAGAGAGAGAGGGACCGGGCAGGCACCGUGUUAUUCCGUGAGGCGCACGGUGCCCCCGGUGCAUGUGCAUAGCCCGGUGCCGGUACAUCCCAGUGCCUCGUAUCAGCCGGGCUAGAGUGGGCAUCGAGCCGGUCCGCACCUUCACGGUCCGGUCUGUCCGGUGUCACCUCCACGUACCAGCCCUCCGGUGGCAGCCCCCCGCACCAGGCUGUCUCUCUGUCUUCUCCCUACAGGUGCUCCCGCCUGUCCAGCGCUGCCAGAGCCUUCCUCCACUCCAGCGCUGCCAGAGUCUCCCAUCUGUCCUGAGCUGCCAGAGUCUCCCGUCUGUCCUGAGCCGCCAGAGUCUCCCGUCUGUCCUGAGCCGCCAGAGUCUCCCGUCUGUCCUGAGCCGCCAGAGUCUCCCGUCUGUCCUGAGCCGCCAGAGUCUCCCGUCUGUCCUGAGCCACCAGAGUCUCCCGUCUGUCCUGAGCCACCAGAGUCUCCCGUCUGUCCUGAGCCACCAGAGUCUCCCAUCUGUCCUGAGCCACCAGAGCCAACAGAGCCGCCAGUCUGUCCUGAGCCGCCAGAGCCACCAGUCUGUCCUUAGCCACCAGAGCCACCAGUCUGUCCUGAGCCGCCAGUCAGCCAGGAGCUGCCAGAGCCGUCAGUCAGCCAGGGGCUGCCAGAGCCGUCAGUCAGCCAGGAGCUGCCAGAGCCGCCUGUCACUUCGGCGAUGCCAGAAUCGCCCUUCACUCCAGCGCUGCCGGAGUCUCCCGCCUGCCCGGCGCUGCCGGAGUCUCCCGCUGCCGGAGUCCUGUCCGUUCGGGACACGUUGCGAGGGUCCCCAGUCCGAGGUCGGCGGCGAGGGUCGCCGCUCAUAAGAGGCCAAGGGGGGGUUGAGGAAGCGGACAAAAACUAUGGUGAAGUGGGGUCCACGUCCCGCGCCAGAGCCGCCAGUCUGUCCUGAGCUGCCAGAGCCACCACCCAGACCCUCCCCUAUAGGUUCAGGUUUUGCGGCCAGAGUCCGCACCUUAGGGGGGUACUGUCACGUUCUGACCUUAGUUCCUUUGUUUUGUCUUUGUUUUAGUAUGGUCAGGGCCUGAGUUGGGGGGGCAGUCUAUGUUUGUUUUUCUAUGUUGGUUUUUGUGUUCGGCCUAGUAUGGUUCUCAAUCAGAGGCAGGUGUCGUUAGUUGUCUCUGAUUGAGAAUAUACUUAGGUAGCCUUUUUCCACCUGGGUUUCGUGGGUGUUUAUUUCCUGUUUAGUGUUUGUCAUUCACCUUACGGGACUGUUCUUUUGUUGCUUAUUGUUUUUGUUCAGUGUUCAUUUUGCUUCAUUAAAUUAUGGACACUUACCACGCUGCGUUUUGGACCUCCGAUCCUUCUUGCUUCUCCUCCUCAGAAAAGGAGGACGAGGUUCCUUACAAAAUGGCCCCAGGUGGUAGCUUCUCAGACCGAUCUGGAGAGAGUGGAGUGCAACUUGACCAAAAAAAAGAACAUUAGAAAUUGUUGUCCACAGAACAAACAUACUAAUUUACCCAUGAUACAUUUCAAUUUAGAUUGAAUAUGAAAUACUGUAUUGGACAGCCUGGAAACAUUGUUAUUUAUUUCAGAUUUUAAAAAAAAUGUACAUCUGGGACAUAAAUCAACCAGAAAACAUAUCAGUAAUAACAUAUCCAACAACAAUUUCAUGGCAGGAAAUAAGAGUUUCCCUGCGAAACAGAAUUGAGCAAAGAGGACCUAAAAAUGCGUAUUAAACACAAUCCUUACAUUAUGCAUCUUGAGUACUUUCUGAAUUCUUUCUGAACUUUCUCAAUUUGGAUAGAAAUCUGUGUAAUUUCCCCCACACUUCAGAGAAAAUAUAUGUUAGCCGACAUAGUAAAAAAAGCCAUUUAAAAGCCAGAAGGACAAGAAAUUGAGCUAAUGUGUGAACAUCAACAAUCUUUGCUCACAGUGAUAUGAAUGUAUAAAAACUUGAGUCGAAUGACUAAUUCAUGUGUGCCCUUGGAAGGCAACACUGUAUGUUGGUUCAGCUAUAUGCCCGAAUGUUGAGAAAACACACAAAGCUAUUGCAGCCUUACAGCUGUAUGGUGAAUCAACAAACUCUGCUCAAAGUAAGCUGAAUUUGAACAAGCUUGUUGAGUAAAAUUACAAAUGUAUGUUUGCUCAAUACUACUCAAAACCAUUUCCCAGCAUGCUCUAUCGCAGGUUGAUUUUCAGAAUUGUUUGUUUCAAUACCUGUGUUUUUGCAUUGAUUGGUUGAUUAAUCUUAUAAUCUUAUGCUACAAAAACAUAAAUAACAUAAAUGUUUCUAAACUUAUCCAAGCUGUUAGUAGUCUUAAUAAUUCAUCUUCCAUACGGCUACCCUGGCCAUCAUUCUCAAUGCAGUUUGCGGGUAAAUAAAUGUUCCAAUUGUUGGAUAUCCUCACUCUGGCUGGAUUCUAAAACGGAUUAAACAAAAUUUUGCAAGCCAGAAUGUGACUUGCAGGCUUAAUACAGCCUAUAAACCAGGAGUUUCAGACCACUGUGUUAGGGUGUAACUAGGCCCUCAAAGAAAAGCCUUAUGAUAUAUGUAAUGUAUUGUCAUAAAGCGUUUAAUUUUACACUGGGAAAUAUGCAAACAAUUGUAUGUUGAAUCAACUGGAAUGCAAUUUUGUUGAGCAAACUCGCCAUCCUGUUGCAGCUGAAUAAACAUAAUUACAGUCUACUUCAUGGUCUAAUUAUUUUUCUCCAUCUCUCAUUUAUCUCUCUUUCCUUUCCCUCCCCUGCAUUCCUCUCACUUUACCCCUGCCUCUCCAACUUCUCA
Oncorhynchus tshawytscha (Chinook salmon) is the source of this 8244-nucleotide long non-coding RNA. The record is from Ensembl. Lineage: Eukaryota; Metazoa; Chordata; Actinopteri; Salmoniformes; Salmonidae.